Talpa occidentalis (Iberian mole) is the source of this 1103-nucleotide long non-coding RNA. RefSeq lists it as uncharacterized. The transcript has 3 exons. The record is from RefSeq and is a predicted model, not a curated record. Lineage: Eukaryota; Metazoa; Chordata; Mammalia; Eulipotyphla; Talpidae.
CACCCGGAAGCCUCAGUUAUGGGGCGGGGAGGACCUGGGACCGCCGAAGCCCCUCCGGGCUCUGAGCGGACAGGAAGGAGCGAGCUGUGGGGCCGGGAUUCUGAGACUCAGAGAAAACCAUCCCGUUCUCAUCCCCCUGAGAGGCUGGCUUCUGGGAGAUGGUGCGUUCAGAGGAAUUCAAGCAAGAUGUAUCCAGGGACCUGCUUCCUGGUGAGGUGUGAAUCCCACUGGACCCGCCUCCCGAAGGGGACCUAUUUCAGAGUCGCCCCAGUUAGCACAAAGGAAACAAAACACACCAGAAAACCAAAAAACCAGGACAUACAGUUGAAUUUGAAUUUCAGAUAAACAAUGAAUUUUUUUGUAUAUGUCUCAUGCACUGUUUGGGAUGUGCUUAUGCUAAAUGUUGCCUGUAUAUCUGAGUGUUCUGCAUUGGAUGGGGCAACCCCACCUCAGACUUACUCUGAAGCCCUCCUGGACACAGCUACAAAGCGCCAGACCAAGGUGCAGCGCAGGCCAUCCAGCUUCAGAGCCCGUGUUUUCCCCUCACAGCACUGACUGGACCACAUCUGGCCCAGUGUCCAGUGGUUUGCAGUCACUGGCAGCAACUCUGAGGCAUGUAUCUGUUUCGCAGAUGAGGAAACAGAGGCAUGGAGGUAACUCAUCCCAGGACACACAGCUACAAAGUGCCAGACCAGGGUGCACACGCAGGCCAUCCAGCUUCAGAGCCCAUGUUUUCCCUCACAGCACUGACUGGACCACAUCUGGCCUAGUGUCCAGUUCUUCGCAGUCACUGGCAGUCUGACUCUUCCGACCUUCAGACUCCAGUAUUCAACCAGCAUGUUCCUGAGAACCCUCAAGCACAGUGGCCCUUCAAGUUCUUCCUCAUGCUGAUCUGCGCUCCCCAAGGACCCCAGUUUAGCUGGUGAGUCUUCAUCUAUUGAGUUGGCCAAGUUGUAAACCCAGGAGUCAUUUUCUUUUUCCUCACCCUCCUAUUUCCCCAGCUUCUCACAUGCCUGCCUCAUCCUUUUAUCCUUCUGAUGACUCUGAAGUGAGCAUGAUCAUCCCCACUUUACAGACAAGGAGGCUUUAACUGGGUCAAGGGG